AGAACGAACGCUGGCGGCAGGCCUCAAACAUGCAAGUCUAGGGGGGUAGCAAUACCCACCGGCGGACGGGUGCGUAACGCGUGGGAAUAUACCUUUCGGUACGGAACAACUGCGGGAAACUGCAGCUAAUACCGUAUACGUCCUAACGGAGAAAGAUUUAUCGCCGAAGGAUUAGCCCGCGUCCGAUUAGCUAGUUGGUGAGGUAAUGGCUCACCAAGGCUCCGAUCGGUAGCUGUUCUGAGAGGAAGAUCAGCCACACUGGGACUGAGACACGGCCCAGACUCCUACGGGAGGCAGCAGUUGGGAAUCUUGGACAAUGGGGGAAACCCUGAUCCAGCCAUGCCGCGUGAGUGAUGAAGGCCUUCGGGUUGUAAAACUCUUUCGACGGGGACGAUAAUGACGGUACCCGUAGAAGAAGCUCCGGCUAACUUCGCGCCAGCAGCCGC
RNAcentral lists this ribosomal RNA (446 nucleotides) under uncultured bacterium. RNAcentral describes it as "SSU rRNA". It matches the Rfam family "Bacterial small subunit ribosomal RNA", at positions 26 to 518 of the family's 1533-position model. The record is from RNAcentral.